UUUUGCAUAUCCAAAAAGCGGAGGAAAAGAAACCAACAGGGAUUGCCUCAGUAACGGCGAGUGAAGCGGCAACAGCUCAAAUUUGAAAUCUGGCCUCUUGGGGUCCGAGUUGUAAUUUGUAGAGGAUGUUUCGGGUACCGCCUCGGUUUAAAUUUCUUGGAACAGAAUGUCAAAGAGGGUGAGAAUCCCGUCUUGGACCGGCGGUAGGGCCUAUGUGAAACUCCUUCGACGAGUCGAGUUGUUUGGGAAUGCAGCUCAAAAUGGGUGGUAAAUUUCAUCUAAAGCUAAAUAUUGGCCAGAGACCGAUAGCGCACAAGUAGAGUGAUCGAAAGAUGAAAAGCACUUUGAAAAGAGAGUUAAACAGUAUGUGAAAUUGUUGAAAGGGAAGCGCUUGCAACCAGACUUGAGCGCGGCGGUUCCCCCUUGCUUCUGCUUGGGUUACUCCGCCGUGUCCAGGCCAACAUCGGUUCUGGGGGUCGGUCAAAGGCUCUGGGAAUGUAUCUACCCACGGGUAGACUUAUAGACCAGGGUGUCAUGCGACCUCCCGGGACCGAGGAACGCGCUUCGGCUCGGAUGUUGGCGUAAUGGUUGUCAGCGACCCGUCUUGAACAACCGGACCAAAA
Molecule: ribosomal RNA, 623 nt
Filed under: Fonsecaea pedrosoi
Lineage: Eukaryota; Fungi; Ascomycota; Eurotiomycetes; Chaetothyriales; Herpotrichiellaceae
Description: LSU rRNA
Rfam family: Eukaryotic large subunit ribosomal RNA
Source: RNAcentral